GUGCUCCUACGGGAGGCAGCAGUAGGGAAUAUUGCUCAAUGGGGGAAACCCUGAAGCAGCAACGCCGCGUAAGCGAUAAAGUAUUUCGGUAUGUAAAGCUCUAUCAGCAGGGAAGAAAAUGACGGUACCUAACUAAGAAGCCCCGGCUAACUACGUGCCAGCAGCCGCGGUAAUACGUAGGGGGCAAGCGUUAUCCGGAUUUACUGGGUGUAAAGGGAGCGUAGACGGCAAUGCAAGCCAGAUGUGAAAGCCCGGGGCUCAACCCCGGGACUGCAUUUGGAACUGUGUAGCUGGAGUGUCGGAGA
RNAcentral lists this ribosomal RNA (305 nucleotides) under uncultured bacterium. Its description in RNAcentral is "bacterial SSU rRNA". It matches the Rfam family "Bacterial small subunit ribosomal RNA", at positions 333 to 655 of the family's 1533-position model. The record is from RNAcentral.